AGUGAACGCUGGCGGUAGGCCUAACACAUGCAAGUCGAACGGCAGCACAGUAAGAGCUUGCUCUUACGGGUGGCGAGUGGCGGACGGGUGAGGAAUACAUCGGAAUCUACUUUUUCGUGGGGGAUAACGUCGGGAAACUUACGCUAAUACCGCAUACGACCUACGGGUGAAAGCAGGGGAUCUUCGGACCUUGCGCGAUUGAAUGAGCCGAUGUCGGAUUAGCGAGUUGGCGGGGUAAAGGCCCACCAAGGCGACGAUCCGUAGCUGGUCUGAGAGGAUGAUCAGCCACACUGGAACUGAGACACGGUCCAGACUCCUACGGGAGGCAGCAGUGGGGAAUAUUGGACAAUGGGCGCAAGCCUGAUCCAGCCAUACCGCGUGGGUGAAGAAGGCCUUCGGGUUGUAAAGCCCUUUUGUUGGGAAAGAAAAGCAGCAGGUUAAUACCCCGCUGUUCUGACGGUACCCAAAGAAUAAGCACCGGCUAACUUCGUG
Molecule: ribosomal RNA, 492 nt
Filed under: uncultured bacterium
Lineage: Bacteria
Description: partial 16S ribosomal RNA
Rfam family: Bacterial small subunit ribosomal RNA
Source: RNAcentral